Molecule: long non-coding RNA, 264 nt
Filed under: Gossypium raimondii (Peruvian cotton)
Lineage: Eukaryota; Viridiplantae; Streptophyta; Magnoliopsida; Malvales; Malvaceae
Description: long non-coding RNA (GRAI_LNC010350)
Source: RNAcentral
AAGAGAAAAGAAAGAAAGAAAGAAAAGGCUGAUGGGUUUGUGACCGACUGGUCACAUCUGUGCUGGACUGUCAACUGACAUAAGUAAUUUUUUUUUUUAGUCACUAACAUCUUCUUAUUAAUUUGGUUUUUUUAAAUUUUAAUUAAUAUAUCAAUUUUUUCAAUUAAAUUUUCAUAUAUAUUUUCAUAUUCAAAUAUUAUUUAUUUCCUCAUUUCUUUUAUUAUUUUCAAAUUUUUUAUUUAACUCAGAUUUAUUUUAUUAAAC